Long non-coding RNA from Asparagus officinalis (garden asparagus), 613 nucleotides. RefSeq lists it as uncharacterized. NCBI's taxonomy places the organism in Eukaryota, Viridiplantae, Streptophyta, Magnoliopsida, Asparagales, Asparagaceae. The transcript has 4 exons. The record is from RefSeq and is a predicted model, not a curated record.
GAGUAUCUUGAUCAAGAGAGGGUGUUCUUUUUUAUCUUUUUUCCUUUGUAACCUCGAAAGGAAUAUAAAGGAAUUGGUCGUCGUCGUUGCACCGUGGAGUAGCUCCGUAAGAAUGAACCAUGUUAUAUCUGUGAAUACUGUGAUUUACUGGUUUUAAUUUGAUCUGUGAGUAUACUGUGAUUUGCUGAUUCCAAUAUCUAAGUCAUCAGAGCCUCUUCCUCGAAAAAAGAUAUCCUCUAUGAAGAAAAUUCAGAAAGGUUUCCUGGGGGGGAAAAGUUACUCGCCGCCAAAUGGCUAAGUAUCUUCGGAAGGUGGUAGGAGACGAUGAUCUGAUUGUUUCAUGCAUCAAGGCCUAUACUAAUGAGGAGAAAAAAUUCAAUCGUCAUCAAAUGGUUAAGUACCUUAGAAAGGUUAUAGGUGGUGAGGAUUUGAUUGUCUCAUGCAUUAACGCUUAUAUGCCAAUAAGAUGAAGGUGGAAUCAAUGAAUCCGACUUUUGAAAAAACUAAACUGCAACCGGGAAUAAUGUGGGAGCUGUGAUCAUGGGGUCCACUAGCUGUUCUAGUUAUCUUUCAUUGUAGAUUCUAGGUUUCUAAUAAGAUUCAAGUGUUUGUA